AAGCAGAUCGGCGGCCGCGGGGAGGUUCGGGGCGGCGCAGCCCCGCGCGGUUGUGGGAUCGCUCCCGGGGGCCGCUCCUCUCUCGGGCACUGGGGUCGCGGGAGACGUCGUCGGGAGCUCGGUUUCUGGAGGCCCUUCCCCACCCGGCCUCUGCCUCCUCCACUCCCCCGGGCUGGACGGAACGGGGCCCAGCGCGGGAUGCGAGGCUGGAGGGCAGUGGCGCAAUCUCGGCUCACUGCAGCCUCGAACUCCUAGGCUGAAGCGAUUCUCCCGCCUCAGCCUCCAAAGUAGCCGGUACUACAGGCGCGCGCCACCACGCCUGGCUAAGAAAUAACCAUGGAUAUGGGUAGAGACAGAGCCAUAUGGAAUGCACACUGCAGUGGUGAACACAUGGCCCAGCUCUGCCAUCAAGGAGAAGGUGAGAACAUGGGGGAAGAUUUUAUCGAAGUUUCUUUUCUGGGGCAUAUGCUCAGGUUAAACACCUGCUCUGUAUCUCUAGCUUCUGACUCCUACCCCUGGCCAGCUCUGUUACUCUAGUACACUGCUAGGCAGGCAGAGUAUGGCCAAAGUAUUCACAACAGUGCAUCACUAAAUCAACUGGGAUCCACACAAUGGAAUAUCCUAAUGCAUCAUUAAAAAUCACAUUGUAAAAGAAGAUUUUAUAACAGAAAAAAAUGCACUGUAUAUGAUACAUUUUUAAAAUGUUACUUAUGCCAGUCACAAUAAAAGACAAUUACACUUAUAUGGGAUAGAGUAGUCAAUAUUAUAGAGACAGAAGGUAGAAAUGGGUCUGGGUGGAAAUUAGAAUGAGAUGUUCUUAGCAUUCCAGUUUUACAAGAUGAAAAGAGUAACGGAGACAGAUGGCAGUGGUGGUUGCAUGACAUUAUGAAUGUACAUAAUUAAAAAUGGGUAAGAUGGCACAGUGAGAUACCAUCUCACACCAGUCAAAAUGGCUAUUACUAAAAAGUCAAAAAAAUAACAGAUGCUGGGGAGCUUGUAGAGAAAAGGGAAUGCUUAUACACUGCUAGUGGCAGUGUAAGUUAGUCCAGCCACUGUGGCAAUUCCUCAAAGAACUUAGAACUAUCAUUUGACCCAGCAAUCCCAUUACUGGGUAUAUACCCAAAGGAAUAUAAAUUGUUCUGCCUUAAAGACACAUGCAUGUGAUUGUUCAUUGCAGCACUCUUUAUAAUAACAAAGACAUGGAAUCAACCUAAAUGCUCAUCAACAGUAGACUGGAUAAAGAAAAUGUGGUUCAUAUACACCAUGGAAUACUAUGCAGCCAUAAAAAAGAAUGAGAUUAUUUCCUUUGCAGGAACAUGAAUGGAGCUGGAGGCCAUCAUCCUUAGUGAACUAACACAGGAGCAGAAAACCAAAUACCACAUGUUCUCAUGUGUAAGUGGGAGCUAAAUGAUGAGAACACAUGGACACAAAGAGGGGAACAACAGACACUGAAGCCUCCUUGAGGGAGGAGGGUAAGAGGAAGGAGAAGAUCAGAAAAGAUAACUACCAGGUACUAUGGUAGCUUAGUACCUGGGUGAUGAAAUAAUCUGUACACCCAACCCUCAUGACAGAAGUUUACCUGUGUAACAAACCUGCACAUGUAUCCCUGAAACUAAAAGUUUUUUAAAAAGUUAUUUAAUAUAUAUAUAUUUUUUUGAGACGGAGUUUUGCUCUUGUUGCCCAGGCUGGAGUGCGGUGGCGCAAUUUCGGCUCACCACAACCUCCGCCUCCCAGGUUCAAGCUAUUCCCCUGCCUCAGCCUCCCUAGUAGCUGGGAUUACAGGCUUGUGCCACCACGCCGGCUAAUUUUGUAUUUUUUGUAGAGACGGGGUUUCUCCAUGUUGGUCAGGCUGGUCUCGAACUCCCGACCUCAGGUGAUCCACCCCCCUCGGCCUCCCAAAGUGCUAGGAUUACAGGCAUGAGCCACUGCGCCCGGCAAAAAGUUAUUUAAUAUUAAUGGGACAAUACUCAUUGCAAGAAUCAGACUUCAAUUGCUAGCAUAAGUAAAUGACAGGCAGGAGAUAUUGAAAAUGCAAUCUUAUAGACAUUCAAGGAGAGGACGCAGGACAUUUCUGUGUCAUAAAUGUACUAUGGAAAAUAAAAAUGAGAAAAAUGGAAAUAAAAUACAAGAAAAGGUUAUGAUAAAUUUCAUAUUAUUUUACCACAAUAAAAAAAUUUUAAUAAAUUAUAAAUGGUGUGAUAUGUUUUGCCUGUGUUCCACCCAAAUCUCAUCUUGAAUUAGAGCUCCCACAAUUCCCACGUGUUGUGGCUGGGACCCUGUGGGAGAUAAUUGAAUCAUGGGGGCAGUUUACCCCAUACUGUUCUCUUGGUGGUGAAUAAGUCUCAUGAGAGUUGAUGGUUUGAUAAGGGGUUUCCCCUUUUGCUUGGCUCUCAUUCUCUCUUGACUGCCACCAUGUAAGAUGUGCCUUUUGCCUUCCACCAUGAUUGUGAAGCCUCCCAGCCACAUGGAACUGUGAGUCCAUUAAACCUUUUUCUUUACAAAUUA
This 2505-nucleotide long non-coding RNA is filed under the name Homo sapiens (human). Its description in RNAcentral is "CCNY antisense RNA 1, transcript variant 2 (CCNY-AS1)". Lineage: Eukaryota; Metazoa; Chordata; Mammalia; Primates; Hominidae. The record is from RNAcentral.